UACGGAGGGUGCAAACGUUGCUCGGAAUCAUUGGGCGUAAAGCGCACGUAGGCGGCCUGUUAAGUCGGGUGUGAAAGCCCUGGGCUCAACCCAGGAAGUGCACUCGAAACUGGCGGGCUUGAAUAUGGAAGAGGGUCGCGGAAUUCCCGGUGUAGAGGUGAAAUUCGUAGAUAUCGGGAGGAACACCAGUGGCGAAGGCGGCGACCUGGGCCAAUAUUGACACUCAGGUGCGACAGCGUGGGGAGCAAACAGG
RNAcentral lists this ribosomal RNA (253 nucleotides) under uncultured bacterium. RNAcentral's name for it is "partial 16S ribosomal RNA". It matches the Rfam family "Bacterial small subunit ribosomal RNA", at positions 524 to 776 of the family's 1533-position model. The record is from RNAcentral.